AUUCAAAUCAUCCGACAUCUUGAAAACAAACCGAUAUCGUUUAAAUUUAUAUGUAUGUAUUAUACACAACAUAUUAUUACGAAGUUAGUAACGUGUUUAUUAAACUCAACAAUUUUUUUUUUUCAAAAAAUAUCGAGUCUGAUAUUGAAGAAAAAACAAAAAUUCAAUAACCGAUUUUCCGAUACUUCCAAGAUCGGCCCAAGCGAGUUGAACUUCAUCCAAUAGAAGAAUUUCGGAACCAUUACAAACGUACAUAAUGGAUAUCUUGGCCUGUGAUGGCGUGGUCCGAGUAUAUUUAAACGAGUUUUACGUAUAAUGAUACCGACGAUACGAACCAUUGUCUCAGUAGUUCUCUGAUCAAAUUUGAAAAACCGAGGAAAAACUGGAAAAUAUAAGAAAUGCAGGUAUUACUUAAAAUAUAUCAUGGCCUUUUUUUUUCUGUGCACAAUUUUUCUAUCAGCAAUUUUGCUCCAAUUUGUAAUGAUUGCGAUUUUUCUAAAAUGAAAUUCGCCUGGGAAGGUACUCUAUGGAAGUCAUUUUUUGAUUUUCCCAAAAGUUUUCCCGACAUAUGUGAAAAACCGGGUUAAAACAUGGAAAACCCGAGAAAAACGUAGCAAAACUGGAAAAAUCGGUUAAACAUUUUACAAAUAUUAAAGAAAAUAUAUAUAUAAAGCCUAUUGAGUUAUUUUACCAUAAAAUGAUGUGUACAUUUGUUGACAAAGCAUCACUAUCAACCGAACUUUUCUCAGAAUCGUUUUUUUUUUUUUGUAAGCAAUGGCUUGUCGUUGCUUACAGGCACACGUCAAAUUGUCUGUAACAGUGGUUGCGCCCGUCCCCGUUAUCCAAAGACGUAUUUUUCCAUAAUACAGCGUUCGUAUCCCCGGUUUUUCCAUAAUUAUCUCGUUAUAGAAAUUUCUUCAUUCGCCGUUCUCUCGGUACACAUUGUUCAUGUAAUGAAUAUUCUUCUGUAGCGUUACAUUUCAAACGCAUUUACAAUUUCUUUAGGCUAUCAAUACUGACGUGGCCCGGGUUUCGCUACCGUCGUUCAACAUUGCGUUCUAAACAUUAUUGAGUCUUCAAUAAAACGUUCUACUAACGUUGUUUGACACCGUUUCGCCGUUAAACGUAAUGUUAGCUCGGUCUCGCCCGACACGAGUGUGUAGGUAUUUAUACGGAGUGUGCGUGCGCGGUUGUCAUCAUUGUUGCAACCUAUUCCGAGUCCUCUGACCGAAAUACUUGUAAUGUAUUAUUACGCGUAUAUAGGAAACGUUCGCAGCUGCAGCGGAUCGAUAAUACAAUAAUAUGCAGUAAGCCUUUCACACGAGGCGGCCCGGUAUAAUAAUAAUAAUAAUAAUAGUAUGUCUUGUAUCACCUCUCGAACGUGUGUGUGCGGCGAGGGGACAAAAAGAAAAAAAAAAAAAAAUUCGUGAAAAAAUUCCUUUAUACAGUAUAAUAUAGGCGACGGGUAUACGCGUACGCCUCUACACUACCGACGAGAGACACCUGUACUCGUCCGGAGGGUCCUUCUCUUUUCUUUCCCUGACUCCUAUUCAUGUACAUUAUAUCACGAACCCCACGGGAUAUUGUCGUCGGAUUUUCAUUAUUAUUAUUAUUAUUUCGAAAUUGGGUGCCUACGCAUACAAUAAUAAUAAUAAUAAUAUGUUGUGUACGUAUACCGUUUAAGGUGCGCGCAAACAUCGCGUCACAUAUACCCAUACACUGACACACACACACACACAAACGCACAAGCAUGCACAAAACCCUCGUCUCUUGUGUCGAGUCGGCGGUUUAAACGAGCCUUAUCCCCCGAACGGUCGGCGUGUUUGUGUGUUUUUAUUGUGCACAGUGUAUAAGUAUCGAAUAUACUCUGGGACCGCAGCGCUAAUAGAGAGAGACCCGUAUCGUAUUGUGCGCUACGCACACGAAAAUACUGCGGGGGCGAACCGCGUUAACGUCUCGCCGUCAUCCCGCAGAGAUAUUAGGUCGCGUUGACCGUAUUGACAUAUUAUUAUAUUAUUAUCGCUGUUGAAAUUCGAUACCGAAUAAAUAGUAGUAUUAUAUAGGUACGGUCGCCGAUCUAUACACAGUAUUUGUUUAUUUAUUUUAACUGUACGGUUUUGUUAUCGUCGAUAUCGCAUUGCGAUCUCGGUCUUAGAAGAUAACGCUGUCGGGACAGCGCAGCCUAUCGUCUCUGUGCCAAUAUUGUGCGGUCGCUCAGAGAGACAGUUUCGGUUCACUUUUUUCCCAUUUUUUUUUUUUCUUCUAGAUAACGUCCCGAAUCCAGUUUUAUUGAGAUCAUAUUCAAAAACGUCUAAGAUCGUACUUCGUGUGACCCGUGUUUAAAUCCUAAUGCUAUUUCAACUUAGACACGGUGAUUUAUGUUGUGUAUUUUAACGUGUCGUCCGUCGGUCAGGCUGAGACAGUGAACGCGGUUGUGCUCUGCUCUUAGGAGGACGUUACAGCCCACACCCGCUGUCUCCGUUUUACAAAACGAACGACAUAGCAAAUUUGCGUUCAGCAGGGACGAUUUUGUAUUGUUAAUUUUUAAAUCAGUGCAGUGAAUUGACCUAAUACCAUACUUAAAAAUACGGACACACUUCGCACCACGCGGGCUACUGCCGUAGUUGAGAAGUUGGAAAGGUAGAGGGGAAAUUUAUUGUUUAUCUGUACGCAACGAUUGGCCGAUUGCUAACGAAAAACCGAUUCCGAGUGAAGUUCCGUUAACAGCGUUGCUUUGCCAAUAAUAUACACGCAUGUCAUAUUAUGGAUUAUAUAUUUUCUUCAGUUAUAUUUGUUCGAUGCUGAACCUAUCUAUUUCCCUACGUUUUUCCCGGAUUUUCCCAUUUUUUUUUUUUUUUUAUGAAAACAGUUGAGAAAAUCAAAAUAUUAGCUCCCUAAAGUACCGCCCCGGUCAGAUUUUCUUUCGGGAAAAACGGUGUCGUAAAUCGGAGCUAAAUUUCCGGUACAGCAGAGUUGUUCACGGAUAUAAAAAAAAAAAAAAAACCACCGUUGUAAAACCAAUACAAUUCUCGCUCUGCUCGGAAUCUAAAACGAUAAGAAUAUUAUCUGUAUAACAACGCCGCCGAUUUGUGAAUUAUCGCGGUUUAAAAAUACUUAUUUCUCACUUAAAAAUUUAACUAUCGAAAAACCGACGGACUAUACUUUAUAUACAGUGUAACUGCGGUUACACAGAUAAUGUUCUUGUUUUUAACUUUGAUAACAAACGAAUUCACUCAUAUCUCUAAUAUUACAAUGUAACAGCGUAAAAUUUUCCCCGCUGUACGUGAUUUUGCCGCGUCACCCGUUAGUUAGACUGAGCCUGCAAUAAACGCGCGGCCGCGGCUUCUUUUUGAACGUGCACGUGUUACGGAGCGAAGCGAAACUGUAGUGCAACUCCGUGGAUACCGAGAUCGCCACCGAUACUGUACGGCUAUUCAAUAACGUUAUUAUUUAUUUUUUUUUUUUUUUUAGCUUGACGAUGUUUCGACAAUUAUAAAUCAACAUACGCGUAAACGACACAAACGAACGGAUAUGAUCGCAUUGCGCGUACCUAAAGUUAGUGUAGUCUGCGAAAUGCAAAUAUCUUGCAUGCAGUUUUGUGUGAGCACGGGUAUACAUGACUUGCGAGUAUUUUGCGGUCGGUUCAACCGGUUCGGUUCGGUUGGUUUUUGCCGUGGCCGGUGACGACCUCGAUCGCUCGGACGAAAUAAUAAUAAUAUAAUAUUUAUAUCUACUGGCCAAAACACAUUCGCCGUCGUAUAGUGCAGCGCGCGGCAAACACUUUGUGUAGUUCGCGCAGUACCGGUACGCGCAACAGGAUAAAAAACGAAAUUUAAAGGCGAUUUCGCAUAUAGUGCGCGCAUCGUUAUUCGUCUCGUUGACAUAAUAUAUUAUGUAAAUAAACGAGCGUAUUACUGAAAGAAAAAAAAAACGCAUGUUGUAAUUUUGGGUACGGAUGUUGUGCCAAUCGUACGCAAUCCGUUACUAAAACGCGGUUUAAAAAAUAAAAAAAAAAACACGAAAUAAUCGAGCUGUGUAUAAUAAUAUGGUCUUAUACGAAAUUAUCGAAAUCAAAAAUAUUACCGGCUUACGAGUCGGUACAAAUUUCAAAUUUAAUAAGUAACAAAAAAUAUACGGAGGUAUAAAUUCCGCUUUUAGUGUGUCCCCGCCAGAGCCGCGUCAGACCGUUUGGCACCCAGGGACAUUGGUUUUUAAGAGCCUCUCUCUUCGAGGCCUUACCCGAGGAUUCAAUUGAAGGAUUUGAUCCCCCCGAAAUUCUUAUUCUCGUACAAUGUUAUUAAAUUCAUAUUCAAAUUUUAACAUUUUACUUCUGCCCCAAACAUGAUUCUUUCUUACUUUUGAAUUUUUUUUCUGGGUACACAUAAGGGUAUUACAUGUUACUAAGCUGUACAUAGGUUCUCUUAAUAACCAAAUGUUCAUUAUUACUCAAAGCAAAACGUUUGCGAAAAACAACUAAAAAGUGACGUAAUAUUGACAUUGUUAAUUUUAUUUCGAGCUUUAAUCGAGCCGGGCUCCCGCCCCGGCUUUUUCAAAUGCUUUAGCUCCUCGGGAAAAACACAAUCGUUGCUCACCUCUUAACGCGGCCAAGGUUCCCACUCGAAUAUUCCCUGAACGUUCUUCUGCUGCGGUUCUUCGCAAAAUAUUAUGAAAUCGUUCUCAAAUUCAAUAUAAUAAACCUAUUCGAAUCCCGUAUGCAGUCUCUAUACAACGGCGCUACAUGUUGUUUGGUCUAUUCGGUCAAUCAGACUAGAUUUUCAAUAUCGACAUAGAAAUGUUUGUACAGAAACAGUGGCGUGCCCGGAAAUUCCGAACGAGACGGGACGUGAUAAACAACGAUAAAUAACGAUUCGUGAACAAUCGGUAGAAUUUUUUCCCGGUUAAUAUAAUCUGUACGCGACAAUAUAACGACAGUUUAAAAGUCAAAUCCAAAAAUUAUCAAUCGAGCUUUUAAACGUCGUACGACCUCACCGCAACGCGUAAUUUCAGGAUAAAAUUCUAAAACAAACAACAAUCAUAGUCAUUCUGUUUUAAAGUCGAUGAGUAUGUGUGUGUGGGGGGGGGAAGGUAUAAAAUCGCCCCUCGUGGGCACGGCACUGCGGUAUAGAAAACAGUUUCUUGUAUAUCGUAUCCAAUCUCCCAUAAUACGAAUGUAUUCACCUACAUUGGAAUAUUAUUGUUGUACAAAAAUAUGCCUCCGCAACGGUCGAAAAUUGCGUUAGUCAACAACUUUAUCUGAACGGAUGUAUAGCACAUUGACUCCGGAUGGUGUAAAUAUAACGUGCGUCUCUGUUGGGGACGAUUCGACACAAUCACAAUCAUCCGUUGUUGACGGACUUUUUACAAUUUUUUUUUCACAUUUAUUUUUUUAUUUUUUUUUUUAGAUUAUUCCGUCUGCUGAAAGGAACCAUUAUCCUCUGCCGCGAAAUUAUCCCGCAGUUUCGAUGGGAUUUUAUUUUAGACGUGCUCACAUUUGCAAAUACAAAACAAAAUUGUAAAUAACCGAUAAAACAACGGCGUUUACCACGUGUAAAAACAAAAUUUACUGUAAAUACGCAUGGUGCCUAUACCCUUUGCUGCAUCCCUUUCCGUUGAUAACAAUGCCUGGGCACGCCACUGUACGCACGUAUACAAAAAUCGAAAGUCGCGU
Molecule: non-coding RNA, 5668 nt
Organism: Cinara cedri
Lineage: Eukaryota; Metazoa; Arthropoda; Insecta; Hemiptera; Aphididae
Source: the annotation of a GenBank genome assembly